Molecule: transfer RNA, 60 nt
Filed under: Halomonas campaniensis
Lineage: Bacteria; Pseudomonadati; Pseudomonadota; Gammaproteobacteria; Oceanospirillales; Halomonadaceae
Description: tRNA-Val
Rfam family: tRNA
About the family: Transfer RNA (tRNA) molecules are approximately 80 nucleotides in length. Their secondary structure includes four short double-helical elements and three loops (D, anti-codon, and T loops). Further hydrogen bonds mediate the characteristic L-shaped molecular structure. tRNAs have two regions of fundamental functional importance: the anti-codon, which is responsible for specific mRNA codon recognition, and the 3' end, to which the tRNAs corresponding amino acid is attached (by aminoacyl-tRNA synthetases). tRNAs cope with the degeneracy of the genetic code in two manners: having more than one tRNA (with a specific anti-codon) for a particular amino acid; and 'wobble' base-pairing, i.e. permitting non-standard base-pairing at the 3rd anti-codon position.
Source: RNAcentral
UUAGCUCAGUUGGGAGAGCACCAGCCUUACAAGCUGGGGGUCACUGGUUCGAACCCAGUA